This 253-nucleotide ribosomal RNA is filed under the name uncultured bacterium. RNAcentral describes it as "partial 16S ribosomal RNA". It matches the Rfam family "Bacterial small subunit ribosomal RNA", at positions 524 to 776 of the family's 1533-position model. The record is from RNAcentral.
UACGGGGGGGGCAAGCGUUGUCCGGAAUUAUUGGGCGUAAAGGGCUCGUAGGCGGUUUGUCGCGUCGGGAGUGAAAACCAGGUGCUUAACACCUGGCUUGCUUUCGAUACGGGCAGACUAGAGGUAUUCAGGGGAGAACGGAAUUCCUGGUGUAGCGGUGAAAUGCGCAGAUAUCAGGAGGAACACCGGUGGCGAAGGCGGUUCUCUGGGAAUGACCUGACGCUGAGGAGCGAAAGUGUGGGGAGCGAACAGG